Long non-coding RNA from Frankliniella occidentalis (western flower thrips), 1251 nucleotides. RefSeq lists it as uncharacterized. The transcript has 2 exons. Lineage: Eukaryota; Metazoa; Arthropoda; Insecta; Thysanoptera; Thripidae. The record is from RefSeq and is a predicted model, not a curated record.
CGCCUCGGAGCGCCUUCCAGAUAGGCAACCCUCCUCCCUCCAUGCUCCCCGGUGUGACUGGCGGCCUAUCUGCCCCUGUCGACUCCCGGCUAGAAAUCGGCCCGCCGCCACGGCGAGCCGAACCGCACCCGAACGGCGAGGGGACAGGAGGUUUUCGGGAUCAGGUGUCAGACGGUUUUGAGAUUUCGCCUUGGACAGUUGUCCGGAAGAGUUUCUGCUCGUGCUCAUUGUCACCAUGUGCUCGCCGCCCACGUCAAUCAUCUGCCCUGCGGGGCUUUUUGUACCGGGCAACCAUCAACCUACCAUGGAGUAGAUAUCUCUAGAAGGCCGCCCCAUGACCUUGAUGCCCUUGACCUUUGACCUCCAGCCACCUGCCGACCGAAUCCACCAUGGAGUUAAUCUGCAAGAUGUUACUCCAUUUGAGAAACUAUCUCUGGUUUCCUCCUCUACAAUUACCUCCCUGAGCAUCUGAUAUACUUUGCAUUUCUAUUGGCAGUUGUAACGGCUUGUUAAUGUACUUGACCACCUGUGACCUGACCUUUGCGAAAGACAUCUGGUUAUGUAAACCCUCGGUUGCUUUCUUCCCCAUGUGUUUGGGUGACUUGCCAAUGCUGUGAUGUUUUUUCGUUUGAGUUGUAUUUGUAGGGUUUGUUUUGUCGACCUUUGUAUGUUGGUAUCUACCCUAAAAGCUAGUUUCGCUUGAUUGGUUUUUCUUUCUCCGAAUGUUAAGUGUGCCUGAUGAAGUGUUGUCUGCGACUCCUGAGUGCUUGUUAAUUUUAUAGAGCUUGUCGCUACUUUUGUCUGGGUAAAAUAAUACAACUCUUGGUUCAGGUCUUGUUACGAGUCCAGUUGAAGAAUUUCUCAGAUGUUACUUCGUUGACUUUGUUUUCUGAUUGGUAUCUAAACUAUUGCUUUUGCCAAGUGUAUUUCUUGUGAAGUAUAUUUGCUGUGAGUAUGUGACUAACUUGAGUAUUGUUAGUGUAUUUUGUAUAUUGUAUUUUUGUACCUCUUUGUAUGUAAUAUUUUGCUCUGUAUUUUGUAUCUUGUGUAUCUUGUAUCUGGUGUCUUGAUAUUGUGUAUGAUGAAUGUAUUUAUGCCUUUCGAAUAAUUAAGUAGGAAAAUUAUAUUGUGGGUUCGAGCACCGCACGUUAGGAUCCUAAUAGUGUUUCUGUCUGUGCCUGAUUCCAUGUUAGUGUUUCUUUUGUAAAUCCCACUCCUACUGUAAUAAAAAAAUAGCAUUGUAAAAUUCAA